RNAcentral lists this small RNA (918 nucleotides) under Caenorhabditis elegans. RNAcentral describes it as "Unclassified non-coding RNA Y47D3A.37". The record is from RNAcentral. Lineage: Eukaryota; Metazoa; Nematoda; Chromadorea; Rhabditida; Rhabditidae.
AAUUUCUUCGAAAACGACGUGCACGUCAGCGACGGCUUCAGGCUGUACCAUCGAAUAAUAAAAAGAAAAGUAAUAAUAAUAAUAUAAUGUCAUCGACUUCGUCCGGCAAAUCGAGAAGAGCCGCAUCGCUUUCGUCGAUCAAUAAUUUUGAGCACUUGGCGUAAGGGGUUUUUUUCUGAAAGCGUUCACGGAGUUCUGGCUUCCCUCACUAAUUGAAAUGGAAGAGUUUGUGCCGAACUAGGCCAUUUUGGCUCGGCCAUAUCUGUGGUAGAUUUACGGCGCGUUGCGUGUCGCGUCGCGGCUCGAUUUUAGUUGUAAAACUAAAUGUAUUUGUCCGUGUGGAGUACACGACACUUUUCCACGCGUUGUCCGGCAGGCGAUUGCCAAUAGAGCGCGAAUAAUUCAAUGAGGAAGGCCAGAACCCCGUGAGCGUUGGGAAAUUUUUACAAAAAAAAUUCGAAAAUCACAGUAAAUGCCUAAAAUAAUAAUAGGAAUAAUUUUUUUAAAACAAAAAUUAAAAAUCGACUGUUUUUUCCCGUAAAAUCGAUAAUUUAACGGAAAUUACGAAAAAAUUAAAUUAAAAUUACGUGCGAAAAAAUUAAAUUAAUUUCGAAAAAAAAAUUUUGAAAAUUUCAUUCCUUAUUUUCAUAGUAAUUCAUAGUAAUUUCAUAGUAAUUUUCAUAGUAAACUCGAUAUGUCGUUUCAUCCAUUUCUCAGCGCAAGGUAAUUGUCUUACUUUAUAUUUUUGUAUUUUUAAUCGAAAAUUUAAAAAGAUCUAAAACUUUCCGAAAUUUUAACAUAUUCGUUUCCAGAUCGGUCGAAAAAGCUGGAUGGUUGAACAAAUGGACAAACUACUUGAAAGGAUACCGGCAGCGGUGGUUUGUACUCGACUCGAACGCCACACUCAGUUAUUAUAGG